ACUGAUGUAUUCAACGAGUCUAUAGCCUUGGCCGAUAGGCCCGGGUAAUCUUUGAAAUUUCAUCAUGAUGGUGAUAGAUCAUUGCAAUUGUUGAUCUUCAAC
Ribosomal RNA from Medicago truncatula (barrel medic), 102 nucleotides. It matches the Rfam family "Eukaryotic small subunit ribosomal RNA", at positions 1502 to 1604 of the family's 1831-position model. Lineage: Eukaryota; Viridiplantae; Streptophyta; Magnoliopsida; Fabales; Fabaceae. The record is from Rfam.